This 1114-nucleotide unclassified non-coding RNA is filed under the name Amphibalanus amphitrite. RNAcentral describes it as "cD302 antigen-like, transcript variant X2". Lineage: Eukaryota; Metazoa; Arthropoda; Thecostraca; Balanomorpha; Balanidae. The record is from RNAcentral.
CGCAUCUGUCUCCACCGAUAAGGCACCUUCAAACUCAGUGACCAGCGUCCUAUCUUACCUCCGGCUCCGCCCCUGAGAAACCGCAGCAUCAAAAGCCGGUUGCAGCGAGCGCCUCCCUCCAGACGGCAGCACCAUGUCGCCCCUUGCCACCGUAGUUCUCCUUCUCACCGCCAGGGCGGCGCUGCUGUGCCCGGACUCAAACUGGGUUGCCACGGGAGACGGCGAUUGUUAUUUGCCGCUGCCCGGAGAUCUCUUCAAAACUACCGCAGAAGAUGCAGAAGUGGCCUGUCGUGAUUUUGAGCCGACUGCAACGCUGCCAGAAGUACACAACUACGAGGACCAGCUCACGCUCGACCAGCUAGCUGACGGCCUGGCCGUCUGGCUGGGCCUCUACCGCGACUCCGAGUACGACCCCUGGUUCUGGCCGAGUUCCAACGUCUCCUACUACCGCUGGGCCACCGACAACCCCGACGAAGACAUCUUCCUCGGAGACUGCGCCUACACCAAGGACAGCUACUGGUACAACAUGGACUGUGUCAACUCGACCUUCAGCGUCGUCUGCUUCACCACUGAUGAAGCGCUGGAGGAAUAGGAUGCAGCUGCUGAAGAGAGCUUGUCGAUGCCGGAUUUAGUCUAGAGUCUAGUUUGUUGGAGUCGUGGUUUGUAGGAUGGAACAAUGAAGCAUGGCAUGGCGUUUGUAGAUUCGCAGGAUGAAUUAUGAAAGGACGAAAAUGGGGUGGGGUUGUCGAUAUGACAGCGUUAGGUAGAAGCAGUGGUUGGCGCUGUAUGGUGUUUUGAGCAUUGAGCUAUUCAUCGCACGUGAAAUUUAGGUGAUCCAUACGUUAUAAAACAAAAUAUAAAGUGUUCACGGGCGGCCUAUGUCAUCACGUGCCAUCACUUGUCGUAUCCCCACGGCCCGGUUUUCUGAGACGUUAAUGUCAAAAUAGAAAUUUUUAAGCAACUGAAACUAGGGUAUACAGUUUGAAGAAGCGUUGGAAGCGACUUGACUUCAGGCUUGGUUUAAAAUUAAUUGAAAUUGAUCCUGUUGGUAGUGAUGAGAGAUGUUCUGCAAUAUGUUUUGCUCCUUUUUUUAACGAUUUGUUGCCGACCUUGU